CGGGUAUUCUCGGGUGAAUAAUUAUUCUUUUACAUUUUGGUUGUAUUAUUGCUUGAGAAUACACG
RNAcentral lists this small RNA (65 nucleotides) under Mytilus galloprovincialis (Mediterranean mussel). Lineage: Eukaryota; Metazoa; Mollusca; Bivalvia; Mytilida; Mytilidae. The record is from RNAcentral.